AUGGCAGCGAGUGCGACGACAGGGGUGAUGAACCCUCUCCUUGGCAAGCUCACCAAGCUGCUCGGCGAAGAGUACAGGAGGCUCACCGGUGUGAGGAAGCAGGCCUCCUUCCUCAAGGAUGAGCUAAGCGCCAUGAAAGCUCUUCUUGACAGGAUGGAGCUUAUGGAUAAGCUCGAUCCCUCGGCCAAGAACUGGAGGGACCAUGUUAGGGAGAUGUCCUAUGAUAUGGAGAAUUGCAUCGAUGACUUCAUGCAUGAUACUGAAGACGCCUAUGAAAAGAAAGGCUUCAUCAGAAAGAUGGCUCAGCGUCUCAGAAGGUUGGGGAGGCGUCAUCAGAUCGCAAACAGGAUCAAGGAGCUCAAGGUUCUUGUGGUGGAGGCGAAUGCUCGACGUGAGAGGUACAAGAUUGAUGAGUUCAUCAACUCGAGUCCUAGCAUUGUGGUUACGGAUCCCCGUAUUUCAGUGAUCUACAGGGAGAGAGAAGGCAUCAUUGGUAUUGAUGGCUCGAAAGAAGAGCUUGUUGGCUUGUUGAUGGAUUCUAAGAAGAAACUCAAAGUGGUUUCCAUCAUGGGGUUCGGAGGUUUGGGUAAAACUACGCUUGCCAAGCAAGUGUAUGAUGAGAUUGGAGGACAGUUUAACUGCAAGGCAUUUGUUCCGGUCUCUCAAAGACCUGAUGUUAAAAGUCUUCUGACUGGCCUACAAUUAAAGCUUGGGAUGGAGGAUUCUUCUCAUGCUCAAGAGUUGCAAGACAUCAUUGACCGCCUAAGAGAAUACCUAAAACAUAAGAGGUACUUAGUUUUAGUUGAUGACUUGUGGGAUGAACCAACAUGGAAUAUUAUUAGUUGUGCCUUUCCAGAACAUGGUAAUGGAAGCAAAGUAAUGGUAACCACACGAUUAGAUGACAUAGCUCUCUGGGCGUGUCAGAAUGAUCGUGCGUGCAUUUACAAAAUGAAGCCACUCAAAGAACAAGACUCAAGACAGUUAUUUUUUAAUAGAGUAUUUGGAUCCAAAAAUGACUGUCCAGAACAUUUUAAAGAAAUUUCAGCUCGAAGUCUCAGGAAGUGUGGCGGAUUGCCACUUGCAAUUAUCACCAUAGCUAGCAUCUUAGCUAGCCAAGAAGCAAGAUCACCGAAUGAAUGGGAGAGCAUAGUGAGUUCCCUUGGUGCCAAGAUUUCUACAAAAUCCACCUUCGAAGAGAUGAGGGGUAUACUGAACCUUAGUUACAUCCAUCUUCCUGCUCAUCUUCGUCCAUGUUUUUUGUACCUUGGCAUGUACAUGGAAGACCGUGAGAUCAUGAGGGAUGACCUGGUUCGACAGUGGAUAGCCGAAGGCUUUGUGUGUAAUUUGCACGGAGUAGCUUUGGAUGAUGUUGCAAAAAGUUAUUUCAAUGAGCUUAUCAAUAGAAGUCUGAUUCAGCCCGAAGAGACAUUUGGUGGGGAGGUAAUUUCCUGUAGAGUACACGAUAUGAUGCUUGAUUUUAUCCUCAGCAAAAGUGCAAAAGAUAAUUUUAUCAGUGUAGCAUAUAACUAUGAAGACAUGGCAAGAUUGCACAGUUGCGAGUACAAGGUUUGUCGAUUAUCUCUGAAAUCAAGUGUUGGUGAUGAAACAUCGGAGACACUUGCUACUAGCAUGUUACAAGUUAGAUCAUAUGCUCGGUUUUGGGAGUCCAAAUGCACACCUCCUCUUUCACAGUUUAAGUACGUACGUGUGCUUUUUUUUGAGUUUUCAUAUCAAUGUCAUACAACAGUCGACCUCACUGCAAUAGGUCAUUUAUUUCUGUUGAGGUAUUUGAAGGUUUCAGCAAGAUCAGCAGACAUAAUGCUACCUACUGAAAUUCAAGGGCUUGCUUAUUUGGAAACAUUGGAGUUAGUUUGCCGGUCCACACAAGGCUUUCCAUCGGAUAUAAUUCGCUUGCCCAACUUGUUUCAUCUUGUACUUCCAUAUGGUAUAGUGCUGCCUCAAGGGAUCCAGAACAUGAAAUCAGUCUGCACCCUGAAUUGUUUGGGCAUGUGGAAUAUGAGUUCCCUGGAGGAUAUCAAAGGCCUUAGCGGGCUGACCAAUCUAAAGGAAUUGACGUUAUGCACGCCUUAUGGCCAGUGCUUGACGGCUGACCGUGUGGAUGCUUUGGUGUCUUCCAUUGGAAAGCUCCGAGGCCUGACACACCUCUCCCUCGACUGCCCGAGCGAAUCUGGUGACAAUGGCAGCCAGCUAGACUCAUUGCCGGAUCCUCCUCUCCAUCUAGAGGUACUCGAUCUGGAAACAUGGGCUUUCAGUAGAGUUCCCAAAUGGAUUGGUGAGCUAGGUUGCCUCCGGAUCCUCUAUCUUUGUGUCAUGCACAUGUCCAGUGACGAGAUUCGUGUUCUUGGAGAGCUUCCCUCCCUCAUCGAUGCCAGGUUCCACGUGUUGGAUGUUUCUCAAGGUAAGGUCAUGGUCGGCGCGGGGCUGUUCCCCGCUCUGGAGUACUUCUAUCUCUUGUGUAGCGAAGAUGUCACUGAGUACCUAAGCUUCGAGGCAGGAGCUACUCCCAAGCUACUAACACUCAGCCUUGGAUUCGUCUGGGAAGAGUGGAGAGGCGCUACACCAGUCGGAAUGGAGCGUCUGCCCUGCCUGCAGGACAUCCGCUUGUCUCGCCAGUACACCAGCGCCGAGUCAAGCGAAAAUCAGGAAGACGUGCUCGCUGAUGUCGUGCCUGCCUUCAAGAGCGCCGCACGGCUGCACCCAAGGCAUCCCUCUGUUACGGUUGUGUAG
This 2748-nucleotide ribosomal RNA is filed under the name Triticum aestivum (bread wheat). RNAcentral's name for it is "partial small subunit ribosomal RNA". The record is from RNAcentral. Lineage: Eukaryota; Viridiplantae; Streptophyta; Magnoliopsida; Poales; Poaceae.